RNAcentral lists this ribosomal RNA (497 nucleotides) under uncultured bacterium. Its description in RNAcentral is "partial 16S ribosomal RNA". It matches the Rfam family "Bacterial small subunit ribosomal RNA", at positions 28 to 507 of the family's 1533-position model. The record is from RNAcentral.
GACGAACGCUGGCGGCGUGCCUAAUACAUGCAAGUUGAGCGCUGAAGGUUGGUACUUGUACCAACUGGAUGAGCAGCGAACGGGUGAGUAACGCGUGGGGAAUCUGCCUUUGAGCGGGGGACAACAUUUGGAAACGAAUGCUAAUACCGCAUAAAAACUUUAAACACAAGUUUUAAGUUUGAAAGAUGCAAUUGCAUCACUCAAAGAUGAUCCCGCGUUGUAUUAGCUAGUUGGUGAGGUAAAGGCUCACCAAGGCGAUGAUACAUAGCCGACCUGAGAGGGGGAUAGGCCACAUUGGGACUGAGACACGGCCCAAACUGCUACGGGAGGCAGCAGUAGGGAAUCGUCGGCAAUGGACGAAAGUCUGACCGAGCAACGCCGCGUGAGUGAAGAAGGUUUUCGGAUCGUAAAACUCUGUUGGUAGAGAAGAACGUUGGUGAGAGUGGAAAGCUCAUCAAGUGACGGUAACUACCCAGAAAGGGACGGCUAACUACGUG